Molecule: ribosomal RNA, 469 nt
Filed under: uncultured bacterium
Lineage: Bacteria
Description: bacterial SSU rRNA
Rfam family: Bacterial small subunit ribosomal RNA
Source: RNAcentral
CAGUUUGAUCAUGGCUCAGAACGAACGCUGGCGGCAGGCCUAACACAUGCAAGUCGAGCGCCCAGCAAUGGGAGCGGCGCACGGGUGAGUAACACGUGGGAACGUGCCCUUUGGUUCGGAAUAACUCAGGGAAACUUGAGCUAAUACCGGAUAAGCCCUCCGGGGGAAAGAUUUAUCGCCAUUGGAGCGGCCCGCGUUGGAUUAGCUAGUUGGUGGGGUAAAAGCCUACCAAGGCAACGAUCCAUAGCUGGUUUGAGAGAACGACCAGCCACACUGGGACUGAGACACGGCCCAGACUCCUACGGGAGGCAGCAGUGGGGAAUCUUGGACAAUGGGGGCAACCCUGAUCCAGCCAUGCCGCGUGAGUGAUGAAGGCCCUAGGGUUGUAAAACUCUUUCGCGCACGACGAUAAUGACGGUAGUGCGAGAAGAAGCUCCGGCUAACUUCGUGCCAGCAGCCGCGGUUAGCU